UCGCAGACCGAGCCAAGAGACCUUGAGGAAAGUGGUGCACCUGCCUUUGAGCCUGAAGUGAUAGAUCUCACAGGUGACGACAUCAUAGAUCUCACAGGUGAAUCUUCUGAGGCUGAAGUCAUCACUAUCAGUGACAAUGAGUCUCCUGUGGACAGGGAGCAGAGCCAGCAGCAGCCUCAUCUUUCCAGAGCAUCAGAGAAUUCUGUUGAGCCACUGGCAAGGAAUGAUGAAGAGAAACCAAUAGAAGAUGAUGGGUAUGUGAAAGUGUCUAUCAAAACAGUAAUUUCAGAUAAGUGGUUGAAAGAGGUUUUUGCCAAGCUUUUGGGUUCUGCCAAGCUCUGUGCAAGUACUUCAGACCUGGAAUGUAGUGGUCUGCCUGGAAGAGAAUUGAAAUAAACCCAGCAAAAUCCAGCAGAAGCCUUUUCUUCUGUGUUUGUGAAGCCUUGGCUUCUUAGAUGCUAUCCAUCUAACAGUGAAUGUAAGAGAAUGGCUGGCCACACUGAAAUGCUUGCCGUCCAUAAAAAUUCUUGGAAUGAUUGUAUUUCUGGGCUGGCAUGAUGCUGAAUCAGAAUAGGGGAUGUUUUAAAUGCCAACAUUUUCUUUGUUGGUAAUCUUUGGUGCCCAGUGAAAUUUUUCUCACCGUAUUUAAAU
This is a non-coding RNA of Zonotrichia albicollis (white-throated sparrow), 651 nucleotides long. The record is from RefSeq and is a predicted model, not a curated record. NCBI's taxonomy places the organism in Eukaryota, Metazoa, Chordata, Aves, Passeriformes, Passerellidae.